Anguilla rostrata (American eel) is the source of this 596-nucleotide long non-coding RNA. RefSeq lists it as uncharacterized. The record is from RefSeq and is a predicted model, not a curated record. Lineage: Eukaryota; Metazoa; Chordata; Actinopteri; Anguilliformes; Anguillidae. The transcript has 2 exons.
AUGUCCUCUCACUCUCACGUUAUUCCCCUCAGGUUUAUUACCGGAAUUUUACCGAUAGUUACGGCAAAGGUUAAAGGUUAUGGGUCAGAUGUCGUCACGAAGUGCAUCCCACUCAUUUAACUGUUUCUCCAUGCUACUGCACUUCCAUGGUUUGGAGUGCGUAGUCCCAAGCAUUGCCUGGAGUGCGUAUUCCGGAGCACGGUAGUGUGGAGCAUGGAAGUUUGCGGUUUGGGACACAGCCAAUCGCUCUCCUGGCUGGCUCGCCAAAUGAUUUCCUCUGUAACAAGUGUUUCAAUGCUAACACCGUUACUAGAAUGGAUAAAAUCAGGUAAGUAUGGACCAGAUCAGAAGACAACAGAUUCGACUCGAGAGAGAGGCGGUUUGCACAUCAAGAAUGAAGCACGCGGAAGCAGGAUCUAUAUGUCAAAGGUCAAUCACAUGGGUGGCUCGUCAGUCCGCACGCCGCUGUAGCUCUCCAGGGAAGGCAAGCAGGGGCAGAGGAAUCCAGGAUCCAGCACAGCAGUUCAAAUCGAACAACAAAAAACCAACACACACAAAAAAAAACCCGGCCUUGCAACACAAAGGCAGAAGACUCA